UGGCUAACUCCGUGCCAGCAGCCGCGGUAAUACGGAGGGGGCUAGCGUUAUUCGGAAUUAUUGGGCGUAAAGGGCGCGUAGGCGGGUUAAUAAGUUAAAAGUGAAAUCCCAAGGCUCAACCUUGGAAUUGCUUUUAAAACUGUUAAUCUAGAGAUUGAAAGAGGAUAGAGGAAUUCCUAAUGUAGAGGUGAAAUUCGUAAAUAUUAGGAGGAACACCAGUGGCGAAGGCGUCUAUCUGGUUCAAAUCUGAC
RNAcentral lists this ribosomal RNA (251 nucleotides) under uncultured bacterium. RNAcentral's name for it is "partial 16S ribosomal RNA". It matches the Rfam family "Bacterial small subunit ribosomal RNA", at positions 494 to 744 of the family's 1533-position model. The record is from RNAcentral.